UAUCGAUCCUAUACUAAGGUUUCGUUUGGAAUUGCGGGCAGAUUGCGUUACGUGCGGUAGAAACGACGAUGAAAAAAUAUCCUGUUUGUUUGCGUACGUAAUAUUGCGUUCCACAUAUUACGGUUAAUCGGUUACGAUAUAUUUUCUGCGGUCCCAUCGGAGAACGCAGAAGUAUAUCCCUAUAUGCUUUUUCUCAACUCCAUUCUAUCUAAUAGCGUUAGAUUGCCCUCAAUACCAAACUAAGCCUAAGGGAAUCCUAUCUUGCUGCUCUCUUCCUGGCCUUCUGCCGCUCCAACCUUU
RNAcentral lists this long non-coding RNA (300 nucleotides) under Ananas comosus (pineapple). Its description in RNAcentral is "long non-coding RNA (ACOM_LNC036195)". The record is from RNAcentral. Lineage: Eukaryota; Viridiplantae; Streptophyta; Magnoliopsida; Poales; Bromeliaceae.